This 382-nucleotide ribosomal RNA is filed under the name uncultured eukaryote. RNAcentral describes it as "partial 18S ribosomal RNA". It matches the Rfam family "Eukaryotic small subunit ribosomal RNA", at positions 592 to 976 of the family's 1831-position model. The record is from RNAcentral.
UGUAAGCGUAUACCAAAGUUGUUGCAGUUAAAACGCUCGUAGUCGGAAUUUGGCAGUUCCGGAUGUGUGCACGUCGUGUGCGCACUUCGCGGGGAUUGCUGUUGUGGUCUUGCGUAGGAUGAGGCACUUUUAUUAGUGAACGUCCUCACGCAACCACUUUUUACUGUGAGAAAAUCAGAGUGCUCAAAGCAGGCAUUUGCCGUGAAUGUAUUAGCAUGGAAUAAUAGAAUAGGACUUGGUUCUAUUUUGUUGGUUUGUUGGGACUGAGUAAUGAUUAAGAGGGACAGUUGGGGGCAUUUGUAUUUCGGUGCUAGAGGUGAAAUUCUUAGAUUACCGAAAGACAAACUGCUGCGAAAGCGUCUGCCAAGGAUGUUUUCAUUGA